This is a long non-coding RNA of Osmia lignaria (orchard mason bee), 956 nucleotides long. RefSeq lists it as uncharacterized. NCBI's taxonomy places the organism in Eukaryota, Metazoa, Arthropoda, Insecta, Hymenoptera, Megachilidae. The record is from RefSeq and is a predicted model, not a curated record.
ACAUAUUCCAUGUUCAACGCGUUUAUCAACAUUUCAUAUCUCCCGUACUUUUCAAACCGUAAAACCCUCUAAUUAUUUCAAACGGCGCAUUAUAGGAAACGCGGUUGCAUAAAACUUAAAACAGUGAGUCACGCGAAUACAAACUUGCAGAAAUCCAGAGUUUAGAAGAAACAAAGAAAAGAUCUGUUGCGAAUAAACCGAACUACGAUGCAUGUCAGCUGGAAAUGCCCGACCCCCAGAGGAACGAAAGAAGCAGAAUAAAUUAUUAUACGAAACGAGUAAGAAGUAUGGAUAAACUUACCAGGCACUGCAACGAACAUCUUCACCGCAUCUCUAUGUCCAUGAAAACUAAGUUGAGCAUGAGCCAUGCUGCAGUAAGGUAUAAAACUUCCACGUGUAACACUACGGUCUGAUGCAAAAAUUCGGACACCGACUCCUGGCGCUUCAGUUUUUCCACUUGCUGCUUGAACUCUGGACACUGCCAUUGAACCUCCAGCACCUACGACAUAUACAUCUUUCAUUCAUAGACAGAUAUUUAUUAUUGUACAGCUCUAAAUUAACUUACCUUCGGCCAAGGGAACUGAAAUUAUUACUCCGUUUCCUGUACCAAUCCACAAUCUAUUCGAUGAAAUGAGUAAGGCGGUAAUUCUUACAAAAGAAAAGCCAAGUUUUCCAGUUCCGAGCAUUUUGCUAACGUAAGGCUCUAUAUCGACGUCUUGAAGAUGUUGGUACGUAUGGGCAUGGUAGAGUCUAAGCGUUGAGUCUAAUCUAAUACUGACCCAUACUCCUUCGCCUAACCAAGCUAAUUGUCUCACUUGUGAUUCUCGACGGGGAUGAGCAUCUACGGUACACUGGAAGUUUAUUUUACAUAUAAUUUAUAGUAUAUUAAAUCAGCUAAUUAACAAAAUUAUAUACAAAUCUAUGUACCUCGACCGUCAUUAAAACUGGAUCUAUUA